CCAAGAAGGAGAAAGUUCAAUCACAUGUAAAGAAAUGCUGUAUGGCAUUAGGAAGGUAGUAUCUUAAUAAUAUAAUGGUCUCUUUCCCUGGACGGUCCACGAUUCUUAAUCACUGGAAAAUGAAGGUUACAUCAUGUCUGCAGCAUGUGUUCCGAAACAGCCAUAUGGACGUUUUCUAUAGAAGAAGGUAAUCUCUUCUGUUUGAGCAGGUCGAGGUUAAUGGUGGUGGGUUUGUCUCUGGCACUGGAACCAUCAGUAAAGGAGUGUAAAAUUGAGAGGAUCACCUUGUUCU
Non-coding RNA from Pelobates cultripes (western spadefoot toad), 292 nucleotides. The record is from the annotation of a GenBank genome assembly. NCBI's taxonomy places the organism in Eukaryota, Metazoa, Chordata, Amphibia, Anura, Pelobatidae.